CCAAAGCAUUAAUUGGUGUUCUAUAAGCGACUUCAAACAAACAUACAAAAUUCCAAAAAUAUACUUUAAACCAACCUUAAGGUAUGGUGGUUUGACAUUAUCAGCUCAAAAAACGUAAUUUUGGGAAAUGGCUACAUUUUGAAUAGCACAACGUUAAGGCUUCUAUUGACACUCAGGAGGACUUUCUAUCAAAAUGUUGAGAUUAAAUGAUUCAAACCGACAUUCAUAUAUGGUCAUAUUUUGUUUUUGAUUUUACCAAAGGAUUUUACCAUCCUCUCAGGUCGAAGCAAGGAGGGUGCCAUGUUUCAUCGGUAAAGUCUAUAAAAAGGUCUAUGAAAACACGAAAAUGAAAUGUUUUCCAAAGGAUCCGCUGAGAGACAUAAGUUUUUUCCUCCGGUUUCAGGGUAUGGAACUGAGAAAUUCUUAAGGAAUGGAUUUUUGGACGCUCGUGACAAGUUAUGUGUGCAGUGUGACUUCCUUAGUUUCAACUCCAAAUGGAUGUCAUGUUCAACCUCCAUCUGCAAUCAAACAUGUUGAUAACCAGGUGCAGAUCGUUCCGUUCGUGCAAGAGACGAGCUCCUACCUCCCGCUGGCCAUUCAAAUCUGCUCGAAUGUGGUCGAUCAGACCCUCAACUCGCAAAUGAAACAGAUAGUCUACGACUCGUUCGUAUCGAAAGAGCUGAGCUCCGCGCCACCAACUACCCUUGUCGACGACGCGCGAGCAGAACCGGACACAGGAGCACCCGCCACCGUUUCCACUCAUUCCAAAACGAAUAGUUCCGUCGCAGCGCCCGGUUCCCCACAGCCGAGGUCCCUCUCGACCCCAGUUGAAAAGGAAGCCGCGCAGGCGAGGCUUGUUUCAGACGAUACUGAAGCUCCGCAGUUCCAAGUUGAGACCGAGACCUCACAAACGGCUUCUUGUUCGGAUCUGGUGGAAACGGAACCCCGCAGGUGAGAGCCUUUUCCGAUUCCGACGGAACAGAGACUCCCCAAGCGAGACCCUUCUCGACUCCGGUCGAAUCCGAUACGCCGCAACCGAGACCUCUUUCGACUCCAGUCGAAACCAAAGCCCCGCAGUCGAGACCCUUUCCGAUCCCAGUCGAAUCCGAUACACUGCAACCGAGACCUCUCUCGACUCCAGUCGAGACCAAAGCCCGCAGUCGAGACCCUUUCCGAUCCCAGUCGAAUCCAAUACGCCGCAACCGAGACCUCUCUCGACUCCAGUCGAAACCAAGGCCUCGCAGCUGAGGAACAUUCCAACUUCAGUCGAAGCAAAAUCCCCGCAGCCGAGACCAUUUUCUCCAGCAGUCACGGUGGAGACACUACAGCGGAGACCAGUCGGGACCGGGAGCUUGCAGUCCGGGACCUCCUCAACCUCGGUCGAAAGCGAGGCCUCUACGGAGUCGGGAAACUUCGAGCUGCUGCGGGCCAAGUACGAGUCCCAGUUGAAACGGAUCAUGGUAUCGGAGCUGUUCGACGCGGAGAGAGCGCCAGUGGAGGAGGGACUGCUUUUCAAGAGCGACUCGGGAGCGGGGGUCGUGUCCAACGAGCUGGACUCUCUGCCGGGUUCGAAGAAGGACCCCAACUACUGGCAGCCGGAUGUCGAUAGGCUUUUAGAUUCCAUCAAAGUCGCCGAGAUGUUCCGGCAAAUCUCGCCGGAGCUGCUGUGGCUCGGGGAGUUGAGGGAUCAUCUCAUAAGUGAAGCCAUCCACAAAAGACUCAGGAACACCUCCGGAUUAUCGAGCGAUGUGAUUCAGUUUUUGUACCAAAUCGAUAACGUCAACGCCAGGGAUCAAACUUUAAUUAUCCUCAGGAAAAUCAUUCAGACCGGAGAUAUCACCGAGCAGAAAACUGUGGAACUCGCCCAGAGGAUACUCGGCCUCCUCGACUCCCCGCGCAGUAGAUUGUCGCAAAUAAUCGCACGCUGCACCUCCAUCCGUUACUCAUAGGAUUCCUUUAGUGAAAAUUAGGACUUUUGUAAUUUUUAAAGAAAUGAAAUAUUGGUUAAAAAUGUGUUUGCAGGUUUCUUCUUAAUGAAGGUAGAUCUUUUAGAGAUCUUUCAAUAAAAAACAAUUCAAUGAUCCUUUCAGAAGUUGUAGACGGUUGAAAGUUUUUGAACGCCCCCCCCCCCCCCGCCCCCCGCUCCCCCAUGGGAGGCCUACGCCAAAGAUUCCUCUAGAUUUGAACACUUCAUAUGCACAUGUCAGAGAUCACCCACUGUAUGCUUUGACUGAGCUAUCAACAAACCUAUCUCCCCCAGCAUGAAAGCCUUCCGACUCUUACUCCUAUUAUUGAACCAAUUUAGCCGACAUCAGCCCAAAUACAUCAGAUCAAAAGUUUCCUUAUUUUCACGUAUUUUGCUUUUAACAGAAAACUAAGCAACACUGAACCUAUAAAUUUUGUGAGUGUGUUCUUCAUGAUGUAGAGUCAAUCCUUGAGAAGUUAAUGUGGUGGCGUUAAACAGUUGAUUUAUCGGGCGGGGAUUGAAGGAGAGGAAGAUUGAAUAAAGGAUUCGCUCUAUCUCAAGUGCUACCAUUUGUGCAAUGCAAAGACCGCCAAAGAUGUUUUUACGCAUUUUUCUACUUUUCAUACUUAACGUUUAAGUCUCCAAACACAUCCGUUCCUCCUUUGCCACAUGCCGCGGUGAGGGCGUAUUUCCUCGUGAGCAAAAAACAUGGAUUUACAUGUCAAACAGGACUCAUGUGGAAACUGGGAUCCGGCCUCACGACAGAGGGCCGAGGGGCGACGAUAUACACGUUCGAAAAAGCAUUAGUGCUGAACGAUUAUACUGAUACUUGUUUACCCAUGACAAUAUACGUUGCGCAUAGUUGCAUACUCCUUAAUAUACGAAUGUUGUUACCAAAAUGUUUUUAACUUCUAAAAAAAAAGCAUACGCCUGAAAAUUAGGCGAGCGUGAAGCUGCCUUUUAAUUUAGCAUCCUACUUUUAGCACUCAAUUUCACUCAUUUUGAUUCAAUUUGACUUCAGUAUGCUUGGAAAAGGAGAGUCUGGCAAUUCAUACAUUUUUAAGGGGCAAUGAAUGAUGAACUGUCAUUAAACUCUUUAAGGUCCUGCAUAAACAAUUGUUCCUGGUGCUUGAAAGGCUUUAGGAAAUGAAUGCUAACCCUCUCACAAAGAAUACUUCGGGCGCGUCUUUACGAACCCUCCCUUUGGCAUUUCUUCGAUCAAUCAUUGGUCAACUAUAAUUAGUUCUGAAUUUGGAUUUUUUUUUUCAAAUAGAAAAAUUACUUCCUUUAUCAGAUAUUUUAUGAGCAUCUGUUUAAAUCUACCUGAGAGGGGAUUCGAUGAUUGUGAGAAGUCACCGUAAAAUAUAUUUGACUCUUAAUGAUGGUUCAUUUUCAAAUUUUUCGCUUAAAACUACAUCAAAUUCGGGUAGGAAGUGGGCGGGAAACGGGUCGAGAAUCACUGGUCCAUGAGAAAUACACGGGAAGAAGACGUCAACUUCAAAUGAAGAUUUCUCGCUUGAAACGCAAAAUGCUCUGGGUGGUUCACAUUUUUUUAUUCCUCAGAUAUUCAACUCCAAUUCUACCUGAGAGGUCUUGCGACUUUUUGCGACUAUCAGAGAAAUUUGAAGUUAAAGUUUGGGUGUUAUACGUUGCUUUUACAUUAUUAACUUAGGGCUAAUUCGAGGUUGCCAACUUCAAAUGAGCUUUUCUCGAAAAAUACGUAAAAAAUCCUGAGAUGUGACACUUUUCAGGAAAACUGUUUAGUUUUCUUUAAAAAACAUGAUAGAAGUUGCAAUCAGAUAUAUACACUUUUUUCGCGUGCCCGCACAGGCGUCGACAUUUGAAUUCAUCCAUGGCAGGCGUAACACGGGUGUAGGCAUAUUUGCCACUAGCUGAAUUGAAGGCGCGUCAAACUGCGAAGAUGACUCCUUUCAACCGCAUUCCAUCCCCUGGCCCUGACUCGCGCGACGCUGCAGUCGCCACAAACUAGGACUACACGUCAUCAUUCUUGACUCUUUGCCCGGUUUUUACGAUAAUUAAAGGGAAAAUAUUACGACAAUUUGGAAACGUGGACGAUGUUAAAUUUUUUUCCUGAUUUAAAGUAAAUGGAUUCAACGAACGAAAAUAUCGCGUCUAAUUAUCUUUUUUUUUACACGAAAUCAUAUAGGAAAAUUCACAGAAACUCUCUAGAAAAACCAAACCGUGUGUAGCUUUUUUAAACCAUAGAUUAAAAAACGCUUUCUUUCGCAUGCACCCGUCGGUUUAUUUGAAUCUAUUCAUCUGAAUCUGAAUGGGGUAAUGUUAAAUUAGUAGAAAGAUGUUGGGUUGAACAUACGCCGAAAAUCAGGGAUCACAGCUGGGUAAGAUUAGCUUUGAUAGGUAUCACAAAAAAGGUAAACAGAAUUAGGUAUAAUGUUAAAGUAAGAACAUUAGAGGACAAAAAGGUAGAUGACAUUGGUGGGAAAAUAUUUGAAUAUGAAACGGUUGAUGAUCUAUACGAAAUCUUUGAAAGGGAGUUACGGUUGA
This 4492-nucleotide long non-coding RNA is filed under the name Bemisia tabaci. RNAcentral describes it as "lncRNA ENSASIAIIG003369". Lineage: Eukaryota; Metazoa; Arthropoda; Insecta; Hemiptera; Aleyrodidae. The record is from RNAcentral.